AGAGUUUGAUCAUGGCUCAGAUUGAACGCUGGCGGCAGGCCUAACACAUGCAAGUCGAGCGGUAGCACAGAGAGCUUGCUCUCGGGUGACGAGCGGCGGACGGGUGAGUAAUGUCUGGGAAACUGCCUGAUGGAGGGGGAUAACUACUGGAAACGGUAGCUAAUACCGCAUAAUGUCGCAAGACCAAAGUGGGGGACCUUCGGGCCUCAUGCCAUCAGAUGUGCCCAGAUGGGAUUAGCUUGUAGGUGGGGUAACGGCUCACCUAGGCGACGAUCCCUAGCUGGUCUGAGAGGAUGACCAGCCACACUGGAACUGAGACACGGUCCAGACUCCUACGGGAGGCAGCAGUGGGGAAUAUUGCACAAUGGGCGCAAGCCUGAUGCAGCCAUGCCGCGUGUGUGAAGAAGGCCUUCGGGUUGUAAAGCACUUUCAGCGGGGAGGAAGGCGGUGAGGUUAAUAACCUCAUCGAUUGACGUUACCCGCAGAAGAAGCACCGGCUAACUCCGUGCCAGCAGCCGCGGUAAUACGGAGGGUGCAAGCGUUAAUCGGAAUUACUGGGCGUAAAGCGCACGCAGGCGGUCUGUCAAGUCGGAUGUGAAAUCCCCGGGCUCAACCUGGGAACUGCAUUCGAAACUGGCAGGCUAGAGUCUUGUAGAGGGGGGUAGAAUUCCAGGUGUAGCGGUGAAAUGCGUAGAGAUCUGGAGGAAUACCGGUGGCGAAGGCGGCCCCCUGGACAAAGACUGACGCUCAGGUGCGAAAGCGUGGGGAGCAAACAGGAUUAGAUACCCUGGUAGUCCACGCCGUAAACGAUGUCGAUUUGGAGGUUGUGCCCUUGAGGCGUGGCUUCCGGAGCUAACGCGUUAAAUCGACCGCCUGGGGAGUACGGCCGCAAGGUUAAAACUCAAAUGAAUUGACGGGGGCCCGCACAAGCGGUGGAGCAUGUGGUUUAAUUCGAUGCAACGCGAAGAACCUUACCUGGUCUUGACAUCCACAGAACUUUCCAGAGAUGGAUUGGUGCCUUCGGGAACUGUGAGACAGGUGCUGCAUGGCUGUCGUCAGCUCGUGUUGUGAAAUGUUGGGUUAAGUCCCGCAACGAGCGCAACCCUUAUCCUUUGUUGCCAGCGGUUCGGCCGGGAACUCAAAGGAGACUGCCAGUGAUAAACUGGAGGAAGGUGGGGAUGACGUCAAGUCAUCAUGGCCCUUACGACCAGGGCUACACACGUGCUACAAUGGCAUAUACAAAGAGAAGCGACCUCGCGAGAGCAAGCGGACCUCAUAAAGUAUGUCGUAGUCCGGAUUGGAGUCUGCAACUCGACUCCAUGAAGUCGGAAUCGCUAGUAAUCGUAGAUCAGAAUGCUACGGUGAAUACGUUCCCGGGCCUUGUACACACCGCCCGUCACACCAUGGGAGUGGGUUGCAAAAGAAGUAGGUAGCUUAACCUUCGGGAGGGCGCUUACCACUUUGUGAUUCAUGACUGGGGUGAAGUCGUAACAAGGUAACCGUAGGGGAACCUGCGGUUG
This 1520-nucleotide ribosomal RNA is filed under the name Klebsiella pneumoniae. RNAcentral's name for it is "bacterial SSU rRNA". It matches the Rfam family "Bacterial small subunit ribosomal RNA". Lineage: Bacteria; Pseudomonadati; Pseudomonadota; Gammaproteobacteria; Enterobacterales; Enterobacteriaceae. The record is from RNAcentral.